RNAcentral lists this transfer RNA (72 nucleotides) under Chitinophaga silvatica. It matches the Rfam family "tRNA". Rfam says of the family: Transfer RNA (tRNA) molecules are approximately 80 nucleotides in length. Their secondary structure includes four short double-helical elements and three loops (D, anti-codon, and T loops). Lineage: Bacteria; Pseudomonadati; Bacteroidota; Chitinophagia; Chitinophagales; Chitinophagaceae. The record is from Rfam by way of RNAcentral.
UGUUCUGUAGUUCAACGGAUAGAACAACUGUCUACGAAACAGUAAAUACUGGUUCAAUCCCAGUCAGAACAA